CGGUACUCAGUUCGGAUUGAAGGCUGAAAUUCGCCUUCAUGAAGCUGGAAUUGCUAGUAAUGGCAGGUCAGCAUACUGCCGUGAAUACGUUCCCGGGCCUUGUACACACCGCCCGUCACACCAUGAGAGUUGGAAAUAUCCGAAGCCUGUGAGCUAACUUUUAGAGGCAGCAGUCGAAGGUAGAGCCAAUGAUUGGGGUGAAGUCGUAACAAGGUACC
RNAcentral lists this ribosomal RNA (218 nucleotides) under uncultured bacterium. RNAcentral describes it as "partial 16S ribosomal RNA". It matches the Rfam family "Bacterial small subunit ribosomal RNA", at positions 1282 to 1500 of the family's 1533-position model. The record is from RNAcentral.